This 534-nucleotide ribosomal RNA is filed under the name Staphylococcus aureus. Its description in RNAcentral is "bacterial SSU rRNA". It matches the Rfam family "Bacterial small subunit ribosomal RNA", at positions 202 to 726 of the family's 1533-position model. Lineage: Bacteria; Bacillati; Bacillota; Bacilli; Caryophanales; Staphylococcaceae. The record is from RNAcentral.
AAGACGGUCUUGCUGUCACUUAUAGAUGGAUCCGCGCUGCAUUAGCUAGUUGGUAAGGUAACGGCUUACCAAGGCAACGAUGCAUAGCCGACCUGAGAGGGUGAUCGGCCACACUGGAACUGAGACACGGUCCAGACUCCUACGGGAGGCAGCAGUAGGGAAUCUUCCGCAAUGGGCGAAAGCCUGACGGAGCAACGCCGCGUGAGUGAUGAAGGUCUUCGGAUCGUAAAACUCUGUUAUUAGGGAAGAACAUAUGUGUAAGUAACUGUGCACAUCUUGACGGUACCUAAUCAGAAAGCCACGGCUAACUACGUGCCAGCAGCCGCGGUAAUACGUAGGUGGCAAGCGUUAUCCGGAAUUAUUGGGCGUAAAGCGCGCGUAGGCGGUUUUUUAAGUCUGAUGUGAAAGCCCACGGCUCAACCGUGGAGGGUCAUUGGAAACUGGAAAACUUGAGUGCAGAAGAGGAAAGUGGAAUUCCAUGUGUAGCGGUGAAAUGCGCAGAGAUAUGGAGGAACACCAGUGGCGAAGGCGACU